GCUUUGCUGACGAGUGGCGGACGGGUGAGUAAUGUCUGGGAAACUGCCUGAUGGAGGGGGAUAACUACUGGAAACGGUGGCUAAUACCGCAUAACGUCGCAAGACCAAAGAGGGGGACCUUCGGGCCUCUUGCCAUCAGAUGUGCCCAGAUGGGAUUAGCUAGUUGGUGAGGUAACGGCUCACCAAGGCGACGAUCCCUAGCUGGUCUGAGAGGAUGACCAGCCACACUGGAACUGAGACACGGUCCAGACUCCUACGGGAGGCAGCAGUGGGGAAUAUUGCACAAUGGGCGCAAGCCUGAUGCAGCCAUGCCGCGUGUAUGAAGAAGGCCUUCGGGUUGUAAAGUACUUUCAGCGGGGAGGAAGGUGUUGUGGUUAAUAACCGCAGCAAUUGACGUUACCCGCAGAAGAAGCACCGGCUAACUCCGUGCCAGCAGCCGCGGUAAUACGGAGGGUGCAAGCGUUAAUCGGAAUUACUGGGCGUAAAGCGCACGCAGGCGGUCUGUCAAGUCGGAUGUGAAAUCCCCGGGCUCAACCUGGGAACUGCAUUCGAAACUGGCAGGCUUGAGUCUUGUAGAGGGGGGUAGAAUUCCAGGUGUAGCGGUGAAAUGCGUAGAGAUCUGGAGGAAUACCGGUGGCGAAGGCGGCCCCCUGGACAAAGACUGACGCUCAGGUGCGAAAGCGUGGGGAGCAAACAGGAUUAGAUACCCUGGUAGUCCACGCCGUAAACGAUGUCUACUUGGAGGUUGUGCCCUUGAGGCGUGGCUUCCGGAGCUAACGCGUUAAGUAGACCGCCUGGGGAGUACGGCCGCAAGGUUAAAACUCAAAUGAAUUGACGGGGGCCCGCACAAGCGGUGGAGCAUGUGGUUUAAUUCGAUGCAACGCGAAGAACCUUACCUGGUCUUGACAUCCACAGAAGAAUCCAGAGAUGGAUUUGUGCCUUCGGGAACUGUGAGACAGGUGCUGCAUGGCUGUCGUCAGCUCGUGUUGUGAAAUGUUGGGUUAAGUCCCGCAACGAGCGCAACCCUUAUCCUUUGUUGCCAGCGGUC
This 1048-nucleotide ribosomal RNA is filed under the name Salmonella enterica subsp. enterica serovar Infantis. RNAcentral describes it as "bacterial SSU rRNA". It matches the Rfam family "Bacterial small subunit ribosomal RNA", at positions 82 to 1126 of the family's 1533-position model. The record is from RNAcentral. Lineage: Bacteria; Pseudomonadati; Pseudomonadota; Gammaproteobacteria; Enterobacterales; Enterobacteriaceae.